This 84-nucleotide transfer RNA is filed under the name Delftia sp. RIT313. RNAcentral describes it as "tRNA-Leu". The record is from RNAcentral. Lineage: Bacteria; Pseudomonadati; Pseudomonadota; Betaproteobacteria; Burkholderiales; Comamonadaceae.
CGCCGUACAGGCGGGCGGCUCGGCCAUGCUCAAGGCCUGGCAAGGCCCGUUCGGCGACGUGCGGUUCUGCCCCACGGGCGGCGU